GGCAGUUGACACAAUAAGUAUUCCGCCUGGGGAGUACGAUCGCAAGAUUAAAACUCAAAGGAAUUGACGGGGGCCCGCACAAGCAGCGGAGCAUGUGGUUUAAUUCGAAGCAACGCGAAGAACCUUACCUAGACUUGACAUCCCUUGCAUAACCCAGAGAUGGGUGAAGUCCUUCGGGACAAGGUGACAGGUGGUGCAUGGUUGUCGUCAGCUCGUGUCGUGAGAUGUUGGGUUAAGUCCCGCAACGAGCGCAACCCUUAUCAUUAGUUGCUACCAUUAAGUUGAGCACUCUAGUGAGACUGCCCGGGUUAACCGGGAGGAAGGUGGGGAUGACGUCAAAUCAUCAUGCCCCUUAUGUCUAGGGCUACACACGUGCUACAAUGGUGAGUACAAAGAGAUGCAAGACCGCAAGGUGGACCAAACUCAAAAACUCAUCCCAGUUCGGAUUGUAGGCUGCAACU
This 461-nucleotide ribosomal RNA is filed under the name Clostridium sp. Its description in RNAcentral is "bacterial SSU rRNA". It matches the Rfam family "Bacterial small subunit ribosomal RNA", at positions 847 to 1312 of the family's 1533-position model. Lineage: Bacteria; Bacillati; Bacillota; Clostridia; Eubacteriales; Clostridiaceae. The record is from RNAcentral.